GUAGGUGGCAAGCGUUGUCCGGAAUUAUUGGGCGUAAAGCGCGCGCAGGCGGUUCUUUAAGUCUGAUGUGAAAGCCCACGGCUCAACCGUGGAGGGUCAUUGGAAACUGGAGAACUUGAGUACAGAAGAGGAAAGCGGAAUUCCACGUGUAGCGGUGAAAUGCGUAGAGAUGUGGAGGAACACCAGUGGCGAAGGCGGCUUUCUGGUCUGUAACUGACGCUGAGGCGCGAAAGCGUGGGGAGCAAACAGGAUUAGAUACCCUGGUAGUCCACGCCGUAAACCAUGAGUGCUAAGUGUUAGGGGGUUUCCGCCCCCCUUAGUGCUGCAGCUAACGCAUUAAGCACUCCGCCUGGGAGUACGGCCGCAAGGCUG
This 372-nucleotide ribosomal RNA is filed under the name uncultured organism. RNAcentral's name for it is "partial 16S ribosomal RNA". It matches the Rfam family "Bacterial small subunit ribosomal RNA", at positions 527 to 896 of the family's 1533-position model. The record is from RNAcentral.